AACGAACGCUGGCGGCAUGCCUAACACAUGCAAGUCGAACGAUCCCUUCGGGGAUAGUGGCGCACGGGUGCGUAACGCGUGGGAACCUGCCCUUAGGUUCGGAAUAACUCAGAGAAAUUUGAGCUAAUACUGGAUAAUGUCUUCGGACCAAAGAUUUAUCGCCUUUGGAUGGGCCCGCGUUGGAUUAGCUAGUUGGUGGGGUAAAGGCCUACCAAGGCGACGAUCCAUAGCUGGUCUGAGAGGAUGAUCAGCCACACUGGGACUGAGACACGGCCCAGACUCCUACGGGAGGCAGCAGUGGGGAAUAUUGGACAAUGGGCGAAAGCCUGAUCCAGCAAUGCCGCGUGAGUGAUGAAGGCCUUAGGGUUGUAAAGCUCUUUUACCCGGGAUGAUAAUGACAGUACCGGGAGAAUAAGCCCCGGCUAACUCCGUG
RNAcentral lists this ribosomal RNA (433 nucleotides) under uncultured bacterium. RNAcentral's name for it is "partial 16S ribosomal RNA". It matches the Rfam family "Bacterial small subunit ribosomal RNA", at positions 29 to 507 of the family's 1533-position model. The record is from RNAcentral.